AUACGAAGGGGGCUAGCGUUGUUCGGAAUUACUGGGCGUAAAGCGCAUGUAGGCGGACAUUUAAGCCAGGGGUGAAAUCCCGGGGCUCAACCUCGGAACUGCCUUUGAUACUGGGUGUCUAGAGUGUGGAAGAGGUAAGUGGAAUUCCGAGUGUAGAGGUGAAAUUCGUAGAUAUUCGGAGGAACACCAGUGGCGAAGGCGGCUUACUGGUCCAUUACUGACACUGAGGCGCGAAAGCCAGGGGAGC
Molecule: ribosomal RNA, 247 nt
Filed under: uncultured bacterium
Lineage: Bacteria
Description: partial 16S ribosomal RNA
Rfam family: Bacterial small subunit ribosomal RNA
Source: RNAcentral